RNAcentral lists this ribosomal RNA (254 nucleotides) under uncultured bacterium. Its description in RNAcentral is "partial 16S ribosomal RNA". It matches the Rfam family "Bacterial small subunit ribosomal RNA", at positions 524 to 776 of the family's 1533-position model. The record is from RNAcentral.
UACGUAGGGGCGCAAGCGUUGUCCGGAUUUAUUGGGCGUAAAGAGCGUGUAGGCGGUUUGGUAGGUCCGUUGUGAAAACUCGAGGCUCAACCUCGAGACGUCGGUUGAAACCAUCUGGCUAGAGUCCGGAAGAGGAGUGUGGAAUUCCCGGUGUAGCGGUGAAAUGCGUAGAUAUCUGGAGGAACACCGGUGGCGAAGGCGGCAUCCUGGACCGGCAUUGACGCUGAGGCGCGAAAGCCAGGGGAGCAAACGGG